Molecule: ribosomal RNA, 487 nt
Filed under: uncultured bacterium
Lineage: Bacteria
Description: partial 16S ribosomal RNA
Rfam family: Bacterial small subunit ribosomal RNA
Source: RNAcentral
GAUGAACGCUAGCGAUAGGCUUAACACAUGCAAGUCGAGGGGCAGCACAAGGUAGCUUGCUAUCUGGGUGGCGACCGGCGCACGGGUGCGUAACGCGUAUGCAACUUGCCCUAUACAGGAGGAUAACCCGUCGAAAGACGGACUAAUACUGCGUAUGCUCACAACUUGGCAUCAAGUGGUGAGGAAAGAAAUUCGGUAUAGGAUAGGCAUGCGUCCCAUUAGCUUGUUGGUGAGGUAACGGCUCACCAAGGCAACGAUGGGUAGGGGAACUGAGAGGUUUAUCCCCCACACUGGUACUGAGACACGGACCAGACUCAUACGGGAGGCAGCAGUGAGGAAUAUUGGUCAAUGGGCGAGAGCCUGAACCAGCCAAGUCGCGUGAAGGAUGACUGUCUUAUGGAUUGUAAACUUCUUUUAUACGGGAAUAACAAGAGUCACGUGUGACUCCCUGCAUGUACCGUAUGAAUAAGCAUCGGCUAACUCCGUG